This 508-nucleotide ribosomal RNA is filed under the name uncultured eukaryote. RNAcentral's name for it is "SSU rRNA". It matches the Rfam family "Eukaryotic small subunit ribosomal RNA", at positions 21 to 549 of the family's 1831-position model. The record is from RNAcentral.
UAGUUAUAUGCUUGUCUCAAAGAUUAAGCCAUGCAUGUGAAAGUUCAUCCUUUUGAAUGAGAAACUGCGAAUGGCUCAUUAAAUCAGUUAUGAUCUACGCGAGCGAACAACCACAUGGAUAACCGUGGUAAUUCUAGAGCUAAUACAUGCGUAAAGGGUCCUUCGGGAUUCGCACUUAUUAGAUAAAGCCAACGUAAGGGUAAAACCUUUCGCCUUGGUGAAUCAUAAUAAUUUGGUGAUCGUGUAUGCGACACUCGCUCGAUUUUCUGCCCUAUCAUUGCUAGAUUGUACGAUAGAGGCGUACAAUGGCAGCCACGGGUAACGGGGAAUAAGGGUUCGAUUCCGGAGAGGGAGCCUGAGAAACGGCUACCACAUCCAAGGAAGGCAGCAGGCGCGCAAAUUACCCAAUGCCAAAUAGGCGAGGUAGUGACAAUACAUAACAAUGCAGGGCCUUUACGGUCUUGCAAUUGGAAUGAGUACAAUUUAAAUCCUUUAACGAGGAUCAAUU